UACGGAGGAUCCGAGCGUUAUCCGGAUUUAUUGGGUUUAAAGGGAGCGUAGGUGGAUUGUUAAGUCAGUUGUGAAAGUUAGCGGCUCAACCGUAAAAUUGCAGUUGAAACUGCCAGUCUUGAGUACAGUAGAGGUGGGCGGAAUUCGUGGUGUAGCGGUGAAAUGCUUAGAUAUCACGAAGAACUCCGAUUGCGAAGGCAGCUCACUGGACUGCAACUGACACUGAGGCUCGAAAGUGUGGGUAUCAAACAGG
RNAcentral lists this ribosomal RNA (253 nucleotides) under uncultured bacterium. RNAcentral describes it as "partial 16S ribosomal RNA". It matches the Rfam family "Bacterial small subunit ribosomal RNA", at positions 524 to 776 of the family's 1533-position model. The record is from RNAcentral.